RNAcentral lists this ribosomal RNA (465 nucleotides) under uncultured bacterium. RNAcentral's name for it is "bacterial SSU rRNA". It matches the Rfam family "Bacterial small subunit ribosomal RNA", at positions 28 to 507 of the family's 1533-position model. The record is from RNAcentral.
GAUGAACGCUGGCGGCGUGCCUAACACAUGCAAGUCGAGCGAUGAAGUUCCUUCGGGAAACGGAUUAGCGGCGGACGGGUGAGUAACACGUGGGCAACCUACCUCAUAGAGGGGAAUAGCCUUCCGAAAGGGAGAUUAAUACCGCAUAACAUUUUUGAUUGGCAUCAAUCGGAAAUCAAAGGAGCAAUCCGCUAUGAGAUGGGCCCGCGUCGCAUUAGUUAGUUGGUGGGGUAAAGGCCUACCAAGACGACGAUGCGUAGCCGACCUGAGAGGGUGAUCGGCCACAUUGGGACUGAGACACGGCCCAGACUCCUACGGGAGGCAGCAGUGGGGAAUAUUGCACAAGUACGGGGAAACCCUGAUGCAGCAACGCCGCGUGAGUGAUGAAGGUCUUCGGAUUGUAAAGCUCUGUCUUUGGGGACGAUAAUGACGGUACCCAAGGAGGAAGCCACGGCUAACUACGUG